This 496-nucleotide ribosomal RNA is filed under the name uncultured bacterium. RNAcentral describes it as "partial 16S ribosomal RNA". It matches the Rfam family "Bacterial small subunit ribosomal RNA", at positions 28 to 506 of the family's 1533-position model. The record is from RNAcentral.
GAUGAACGCUGGCGGCGUGCCUAAUACAUGCAAGUCGAGCGAACGGACGAGAAGCUUGCUUUUCUGAUGUUAGCGGCGGACGGGUGAGUAACACGUGGAUAACCUACCUAUAAGACUGGGAUAACUUCGGGAAACCGGAGCUAAUACCGGAUAAUAUUUUGAACCGCAUGGUUCAAAAGUGAAAGACGGUCUUGCUGUCACUUAUAGAUGGAUCCGCGCUGCAUUAGCUAGUUGGUAAGGUAACGGCUUACCAAGGCAACGAUGCAUAGCCGACCUGAGAGGGUGAUCGGCCACACUGGAACUGAGACACGGUCCAGACUCCUACGGGAGGCAGCAGUAGGGAAUCUUCCGCAAUGGGCGAAAGCCUGACGGAGCAACGCCGCGUGAGUGAUGAAGGUCUUCGGAUCGUAAAACUCUGUUAUUAGGGAAGAACAUAUGUGUAAGUAACUGUGCACAUCUUGACGGUACCUAAUCAGAAAGCCGCGGCUAACUACGU